Molecule: ribosomal RNA, 424 nt
Filed under: uncultured bacterium
Lineage: Bacteria
Also listed under: 1 other name
Description: bacterial SSU rRNA
Rfam family: Bacterial small subunit ribosomal RNA
Source: RNAcentral
UGAGGAAUAUUGGUCAAUGGACGAGAGUCUGAACCAGCCAAGUAGCGUGAAGGAUGAAGGUUCUAUGGAUUGUAAACUUCUUUUAUACGGGAAUAAACGGAUCCACGUGUGGAUUUUUGCAUGUACCGUAUGAAUAAGGAUCGGCUAACUCCGUGCCAGCAGCCGCGGUAAUACGGAGGAUCCGAGCGUUAUCCGGAUUUAUUGGGUUUAAAGGGAGCGUAGAUGGGUUGUUAAGUCAGUUGUGAAAGUUUGCGGCUCAACCGUAAAAUUGCAAUUGAUACUGGCAGUCUUGAGUACAGUUGAGGUAGGCGGAAUUCGUGGUGUAGCGGUGAAAUGCUUAGAUAUCACGAAGAACUCCGAUUGCGAAGGCAGCUUACUAACCUGUAACUGACAUUGAUGCUCGAAAGUGUGGGUAUCAAACAGG